CGUGACGGCGCGAGCAGGUGCGAAAGCAGGUCAUAGUGAUCCGGUGGUUCUGAAUGGAAGGGCCAUCGCUCAACGGAUAAAAGGUACUCCGGGGAUAACAGGCUGAUACCGCCCAAGAGUUCAUAUCGACGGCGGUGUUUGGCACCUCGAUGUCGGCUCAUCACAUCCUGGGGCUGAAGUAGGUCCCAAGGGUAUGGCUGUUCGCCAUUUAAAGUGGUACGCGAGCUGGGUUUAGAACGUCGUGAGACAGUUCGGUCCCUAUCUGCCGUGGGCGCUGGAGAACUGAGGGGGGCUGCUCCUAGUACGAGAGGACCGGAGUGGACGCAUCACUGGUGUUCGGGUUGUCAUGCCAAUGGCACUGCCCGGUAGCUAAAUGCGGAAGAGAUAAGUGCUGAAAGCAUCUAAGCACGAAACUUGCCCCGAG
This 424-nucleotide ribosomal RNA is filed under the name Salmonella enterica. RNAcentral's name for it is "partial 23S ribosomal RNA". It matches the Rfam family "Bacterial large subunit ribosomal RNA", at positions 2380 to 2803 of the family's 2925-position model. RNAcentral also lists the same sequence under 5 other names. Lineage: Bacteria; Pseudomonadati; Pseudomonadota; Gammaproteobacteria; Enterobacterales; Enterobacteriaceae. The record is from RNAcentral.